UCGAGAAAGUUUAAAAAGGAAAAUUAUAUUAUUUUUAAAUGCUUAGGUUAAUACAUUUUAAAAUAUAUUGUAAUUAGUCUGUAAGGUUAUUUAUUAUCUAUCGACUUAAAUAAAAAAAAUACACUGGUGCGCAUGACACCAAAUCCAGUCUGGAAGCCAUAAAUGGACUUCGUUCAAAAAGUGCGUAUACCAAUUCAAAGAGGAGAUCAACUCCUUUAAUUUGGUGCACCACAAAUAUCACAGAACUGUUUUUCGUAGAACAAUCCUUCUAGAUUUCUAUUUUGAAACUGGAGGCAGGACAUUAAAUCCAGUCUGGAAGCCAUUAAAGGACUUCGUUCAAAAACUGCGUACACCAUGUCAAAGAGAACAUCAAUACCUAUAAAUUAGUGUUCCAUGCAUAUCCCAGUAUCGUUUUUGUAGAAUAAUCCUUCGAGAUUUCUAUUUUGAAACUAGAGAGCAGGACACCAAAUUCAGUCUUUAGGAAUUUCGUUUCGUACAACAAUCUUUCCGGAUUUUUAUUUACAAACUUGAGGGCGGCACAGAUACGGUUGAUGGUAACAUUGGUGAUAACUAUACAGGGUGACAUAAUAUUGUAAACAAGUUUCUACUUUAAGCCCUGUACGCAGCUCUAGUCAAAUUUUCGCUUGCAAAUAGACAAAGUAGCGACAGUUGUAAAACAACAAAAAAAUGUUUUUGACAGAUUAGAGCAGCUCUGACUUUGACAGAUUGUGUUUUGCGCCAUCAGUGUGCGUGGUGUUGUGUUGCUUCAAUGCAGAAAUUUGAAAAGCAUAAUGCAUAUUUAUUAAACAAAAAAUCAAUUAUUAAACAUUGCGGUAUUUUUUAUAAUUGUGUGUAUUGGACUCUCCACAAAGGAACCUUGUUGACCACGUACAAACCAAUUGGCCGGUCUGUGGUAAGUUAUGCAGCCCCAGUGUGGUCUCGUCAGCUUUGUGACACGCCAUGGAAAAAUAUUCAGAUCUGUCAGAAUGCCGCCCUCCGGACUGCGAUAGGCUAUCUCCUCAGUUCUCAUGUGGACCAUCUUCAUCAGGAAACAAAGAUCCUACCAGUGCGACGACAAGAAGGAUCUUCAGCAAAAAUGUAACGCACUGCAACCACCAUAUAAAAAGAACGGAAUCUAUUGCAAUGUAAUACCACUUUCCUAAUGUAAAAUAAUUUUAAUUUUAUUCGUAUCAUAAUAUCUAUCAUAUAAAUUGUUACAUCAAACAAAUCAUA
Stomoxys calcitrans (stable fly) is the source of this 1233-nucleotide long non-coding RNA. RefSeq lists it as uncharacterized. The transcript has 2 exons. The record is from RefSeq and is a predicted model, not a curated record. NCBI's taxonomy places the organism in Eukaryota, Metazoa, Arthropoda, Insecta, Diptera, Muscidae.